UUAAUUAAAACCAAAAAGAGGUGUAUCAUUGUUAAUGAUAAAAUUGAUGUAAAAUCUAAUUAAA
This 64-nucleotide transfer RNA is filed under the name Nothopsyche ruficollis. RNAcentral describes it as "tRNA-Asn". The record is from RNAcentral. Lineage: Eukaryota; Metazoa; Arthropoda; Insecta; Trichoptera; Limnephilidae.